CCUACGGGUGGCUGCAGUGAGGAAUAUUGGUCAAUGGACGAGAGUCUGAACCAGCCAAGUAGCGUGAGUGAUGACUGCCCUAUGUGUUGUAAACUUCUUUUGUAAGGGAAUAAAACGAGGCACGUGUGCCUUUUUGCAUGUACUUUAUGAAUGAGGAUCGGCUAACUCCGUGCCAGCAGCCGCGGUAAUACGGAGGAUGCGAGCGUUGUCCGGAUUUAGUGGGUUUAAAGGGAGCGUAGAUGGGUUGUUAAGUCAGUUGUGAAAGUUUGAGGCUCAACCGUAAAAUUGCAAUUGAUACUGGAAGGCUUGAGUACAGUUGAGGUAGGCGGAAUUCGUGGUGUAGCGGUGAAAUGCUUAGAUAUUACGAAGAACCCCGAUUGCGAAGGCAGCUUACUAAACUGUGACUGACAUUGAUGCUCGAAAGUGUGGGUAUCAAACAGGAUUAGAUACCCCUGUAGUC
RNAcentral lists this ribosomal RNA (460 nucleotides) under uncultured bacterium. RNAcentral describes it as "partial 16S ribosomal RNA". It matches the Rfam family "Bacterial small subunit ribosomal RNA", at positions 338 to 795 of the family's 1533-position model. The record is from RNAcentral.